Molecule: small RNA, 239 nt
Filed under: Otolemur garnettii (small-eared galago)
Lineage: Eukaryota; Metazoa; Chordata; Mammalia; Primates; Galagidae
Description: Metazoan signal recognition particle RNA (ENSOGAG00000024412.1)
Source: RNAcentral
GCUGGGCGCUGUGGCAGGUGCCUGCAGUCCCAGCUACUGGGGAGGCUGAGGCAGGAGGAUCACUUGAGCCCAAGAGUUUGAGGUUGCUUUGAGUUAUGACGAUGCCACAGCACUCUACCCAGGGCAACAGAGUGAGACUCUUUUUGAGUCUCAGGGUCUCUUUGUCACCCAGGGUAGAGUGCUGUGGCGACAUAGCUCAUAGCAACCUCAAACUCCUGAGCUCCAGUGAUUCUCUUGCC